UACGUAGGGUGCGAGCGUUAAUCGGAAUUACUGGGCGUAAAGCGCGUGUAGGCGGCCAGAAAAGUCCGCUGUGAAAACUCGAGGCUCAACUUCGAGCUGUCGGUGGAAACUUUCUGGCUAGAGUCCGGAAGAGGAGAAUGGAAUUCCUGGUGUAGCGGUGAAAUGCGCAGAUAUCAGGAAGAACACCCGUGGCGAAGGCGGUUCUCUGGGACGGUACUGACGCUGAGACGCGAAAGCGUGGGGAGCGAACAGG
Molecule: ribosomal RNA, 253 nt
Filed under: uncultured bacterium
Lineage: Bacteria
Description: partial 16S ribosomal RNA
Rfam family: Bacterial small subunit ribosomal RNA
Source: RNAcentral